Molecule: unclassified non-coding RNA, 243 nt
Filed under: air metagenome
Description: partial contains small subunit ribosomal RNA, internal transcribed spacer 1, and 5.8S ribosomal RNA
Rfam family: Eukaryotic small subunit ribosomal RNA (bases 1-46)
Source: RNAcentral
AAGUCGUAACAAGGUCUCCGUAGGUGAACCUGCGGAGGGAUCAUUACAUGAAACACAACCCGCGUGCUCCGGUGCGUGGGCGUCGUCUCAAAACCCUUUGUCGUCCGACUAUGUUGCCUCGGGGGAGACCCUGCCCUCGGGCGGGUGGCACCCCGGUGGACCAAACCAAACUCUUGCGUAACCAGUCGUCUGAGUGAUUUACAAAAUAAAUCAAAACUUUCAACAACGGAUCUCUUGGUUCUG